AUCCUUUGAGAAGUCUCUUCGAACCAACAGAUCGGGGCCAUGCCAGUAGGAUUGCACACACAGGAACACGCUCAUGGCGGAUAUGAGCAGAAUAUACUACUAGCUCGUUUUGAGCUCAACAUGUACUGAGAGCAGUUGGAAAGCAGGCACACGGUAUGUACGGUGGACUUAAGCGGAGGCAAUUUAGUCUCGCCGCUUUGGACAUUUGCUCCAGUAAAACGGGUGCGAUGACGAAGCGUUCUUGCUUUUUCCGUCGAAGACUUUU
RNAcentral lists this long non-coding RNA (265 nucleotides) under Setaria viridis. Its description in RNAcentral is "long non-coding RNA (SVIR_LNC008443)". Lineage: Eukaryota; Viridiplantae; Streptophyta; Magnoliopsida; Poales; Poaceae. The record is from RNAcentral.